AUUGAACGCUGGCGGAAUGCUUUACACAUGCAAGUCGAACGGCAGCACGGGGGCAACCCUGGUGGCGAGUGGCGAACGGGUGAGUAAUACAUCGGAACGUGCCCAGUCGUGGGGGAUAACGUAGCGAAAGUUACGCUAAUACCGCAUACGAUCUACGGAUGAAAGCGGGGGACCGUAAGGCCUCGCGCGAUUGGAGCGGCCGAUGUCAGAUUAGGUAGUUGGUGAGGUAAAGGCUCACCAAGCCGACGAUCUGUAGCUGGUCUGAGAGGACGACCAGCCGCACUGGGACUGCGACACGGCCCAGACUCCUACGGGAGGCAGCAGUGGGGAAUUUUGGACAAUGGGCGCAAGCCUGAUCCAGCCAUUCCGCGUGCAGGACGAAGGCCUUCGGGUUGUAAACUGCUUUUGUACGGAACGAAAAGGCUCUGGUUAAUACCUGGGGCUCAUGACGGUACCGUAAGAAUAGGCACCGGCUAACUACGUGCCAGCCGCCGCAGUAA
Molecule: ribosomal RNA, 500 nt
Filed under: uncultured bacterium
Lineage: Bacteria
Description: partial 16S ribosomal RNA
Rfam family: Bacterial small subunit ribosomal RNA
Source: RNAcentral